CCGCCGGGAGGGGCUUGGGGACAGGUGUGUAAGCGUCCAGCACCGCAUUUGGGACAGAGACGGGGGGUGCACGACUUGGUGGCGCAGUGAGGGACCCGCUGAAGAGCAGCGAGGGCGCCGGGAGGCAGCGCAGAGCGGACGGCCGUCCAGGAAGGAAGCCCCGCACGGCCGGGGCCGGAGGGCGGGCCCAGAGGGCACACGGCGGGCGCGACCAGGUCUGCUGGGCGUCCCAGGCUUUCUGGGCGGCUGUGCGUUACGACAGAGCCCCUCCCUGUCAGUCCGCAGAGGAGGGGUACCCCCAAAGCCCCGCCACACCGGGCAGCGUGCGCGGCACGUGUGGCCGGCGGGCACCUGCAGCGCGCCCAGGCCAGAUCCCGUGUGACUCCUCGUCCUCGCCUGUCCUUGGCGUCCUUGGCUUCGUGACGUCCUUGCUCCCGUGCCCCUGGGCGGUUCCGAGGAGAGCUCACAGGAACUGGAGACUUUGAAGAAAUCGUGGAUCCGGGGCCGGGCAGGGAAGGACCAGGACUGGCUGAAGGGUCCCGAGCCAGGAGGAAAUGGGUGCUCACAGACGCAAAGUCCCGCCCCACAGAAACGUAUUAACUGUGGGGAGCGAAGCUUACCUUUGCCGCAGGGAACCCGGGCAGAUCUUCCUUCAUCAAAUGGCCAAAUCAGACCAGGCCCCCACGCCCCUGUGGGACCCCUCCAGGACCCAGCGUCCCCUCCGGGACGUCCCCGGAUGACCAGCCCCUCCCGCAGCAAACACAGCAAACCACGCGCGGAGCCGCACAAGGGAGCAGCAGGCAGACGCCAGCGACGGCCGUUCUGGAGAACGACCCGUUGUCCCGGCGAGGGUCGAGGUCGUGCCAGGCGAGGACAGGUCACUCCAGGCUGAAGGACAUUAAAGGGACGUGGGCUGAGUGAUAUUCCACGGUGUGCCCGGACCGCAUCUGCUUAUCCAGUCACCCAUGGAUGGACACUGGGGUCAUUCCACCCUUUGGCUCCUGUGAGUGGAGCUGCUGUGAAGGUGGUGCAUGUGUAUCUAUUUUGCUUCCAGUUCUCUUGGGUGUAAACCCAGAAGUGGGAUUACUGGAUCCUCUGGCAGUUCUAUUUUUAAGUUUGCGGGGGAACCGUCCACACCGUUUUCCAGCACGGUUGUUCCACUUUACGUUCCCACCAGCAGGGCGCAGGGUUCCAGUUCCUCCACGUCCCUGCCAGCCUGUGUGGUUUUCUGGGUGUCUGUCUGUCUGUCUGUCCACCUACCAUCUAAUAGGCGUGAAGCAGCCCCGUUCGAUUUUUGAAAUAAUGUAUUUCUUAGGAAAACGGUUGGGGUGCCGCUGCCUUACCGCGGGUGCACUUACCAGGCUCCCGGCCCGUUUCUUUCCCAGAGAAAGGACCUUUCCCAGCCCUCCUUGUCCAGCAGGGCCACCCAACCACUGCCACUCCGGGCCUUCCUGGGCGCUGCCUCCCCACCAAGUGACAGCAGGUACUCACCGACCACACGAUGCCGUGGCCAGGCCACCGGAGGGAAGCCCCCCCAUCCCCGGAGGAGAGUCCCACAGGAGGAGGCCCCCGUCCCCGUGGCCCAGAACUCACCUUGGAUUCUGCUCAGCUGUUGCAGCAGCUACUGUCUCUGCUGGAGGAUCCGGGGCCCAGGCGUCUGAAGGCUGGUGGCGCCCACGGGUGUGCGUGCGUUGCACACGUGCUCGGGACCGCCCGUGCCCCUGCACAUAGGAGCCCAGCUCCCAGGCUCAGGACCCGGUGGGGCCAGCGCUGUGGGGAGGUGCCCACCCUGGAGGGCUCGGAUGGUCCGAGUGGUGCCCGCCCCCCGCCGCCCCAGCAGCCCGGCUCCCGGAGCCCACGAGGGAGGCCGGGGUGGCGCGGGGUGCGGCCCUGGCCCCGGGAGCGGCUUAGCCUCCAUUCCCCGGGUCACUGUGUCAGCCCAGCCGCCGGCCCGUCAGCCAGAUGGUCGCUUCAGCAGAGAGAGAAACACCUGACACGCCAUCUCAAACUGAUUUCACGGCGGCCUCCGGAGAGGCCCUGCGAGCUCCUGACAGUCUGAUCUGUUGUGAAUAAAUAUGACAAAAUUGCCAAUUACGGGAGGGGGGCUUCAUUGUCAGGCCGGCCGGGCUGGCCGUGGCUGUGCACUCCGGGGCCGACCCCGGCGGGAGCCCGCCGGCGGACAGAGAGCGCCGGGCCC
Non-coding RNA from Sus scrofa (pig), 2197 nucleotides. Lineage: Eukaryota; Metazoa; Chordata; Mammalia; Artiodactyla; Suidae. The record is from RefSeq and is a predicted model, not a curated record.